This 253-nucleotide ribosomal RNA is filed under the name uncultured bacterium. Its description in RNAcentral is "partial 16S ribosomal RNA". It matches the Rfam family "Bacterial small subunit ribosomal RNA", at positions 524 to 776 of the family's 1533-position model. The record is from RNAcentral.
UACGUAGGGGGCGAGCGUUGUCCGGAUUUAUUGGGCGUAAAGCGCGCGUAGGCGGCGCAGCAAGUCGGCCGUGAAAGCGCCAGGCUUAACCUGGCGAGGUCGGGCGAGACUGCUGGGCUAGAGGCAGGCAGAGGGCGGUGGAAUUCCGGGUGUAGUGGUGGAAUGCGUAGAGAUCCGGAGGAACACCAGUGGCGAAGGCGGCCGCCUGGGCCUGUCCUGACGCUGAGGCGCGAAAGCGUGGGGAGCGAUCCGG